CAAAAACAUCGUCUAAAGACCUUAUUUUAGAUAGAACCUGCUCACUGAUUACCCACAUUAAAUAGCCGCAGUACACUAACUGUGCAAAGGUAGCAAAAUAAUUUGUCUUUUAAUUGAAGACUGGUAUGAAUGGUCUGACGAGGAAAUAUCUAUCUCAAAAUUUUAAUUUUAAAUUAACAUAUAAGUAAAAAGGCUUAUAUACAUCAGCAAGACGACAAGACCCUAUAAAACUUAACCCUUUAAUUUACAAAAAUCUCAGAAAAAAAUAAAAUAAAGAAAAGGUUUAACUGGGGCGGUAUUUAUAUAAUAUAUAACUAUACAUUUCACACCAUAUAUUAAUGAACCAAUAAAUCUUACAUAAAACCUAAAAAAAAGUUACUUUAGGGAUAACAGCAUAAUACUCUUAGAGAGUCCAAAUCGACAAGAGUGAUUAUGACCUCGAUGUUGAAUUGGGAAAUCAUCCAAAAGCAGCCAUUUGGAAAAGAGAGUCUGUUCGACUCUUAAACUCCCACGUGAUCUGA
This 521-nucleotide ribosomal RNA is filed under the name Eophreatoicus barrkmarlam. RNAcentral's name for it is "partial large subunit ribosomal RNA". It matches the Rfam family "Bacterial large subunit ribosomal RNA", at positions 1891 to 2608 of the family's 2925-position model. The record is from RNAcentral. Lineage: Eukaryota; Metazoa; Arthropoda; Malacostraca; Isopoda; Amphisopidae.